This is a long non-coding RNA of Aegilops tauschii subsp. strangulata, 3028 nucleotides long. RefSeq lists it as uncharacterized. The record is from RefSeq and is a predicted model, not a curated record. Lineage: Eukaryota; Viridiplantae; Streptophyta; Magnoliopsida; Poales; Poaceae.
CGCAAGAAACAAGGAAAUAGCGGCGAACAAAUCCGUACGUGGGCCGGCCCACAGAGUGACUCGCUUCAGCGAAGCCUUGACUGAGCGAGCACACCCCUGCGCCGAGCUGGGCCGGCCCCCUAUUCUCUUCCGUUUUCUGUUUUAGACUGAGCGAGCAGGAGGUUUCGAGGGAGCUCCUAAUCAGCGCCUUCAGCGCCGGUUGGGAGAAGUGGCGCCCGCUAUAGCGCCAAGUGGGCCGGCCCACGAAGGGGCACCACACAAAAUGGUUAUGAAAAAUGCGCGAAAAAUUACAGACCCGUGAUGGGAUCGAACCCGCGACCUACACUAGGUACAAGUUACUGCCUAACCACUAGGAUACAUACUUGCAAAUGACAGAAUCCAUCGCUCAAUCUUUAACAACUAUCGUAGCUGUUCAUACAUGAUUUUCUAAAAAAAAAAGAAACUUCAUAUAUCUAUACUACUAUUAAACAAGCAAACAUAUUUAUCGCUAAGUGCACCUAGACUAGACUACAUAUAACAAAACAGAAGGAUUACAGCCUCCCGAUCAGAUCACGUAAUUUUAUCUAACCUAACGGUCAAGAUUACACUAACCCCACAUCUAAAACUGCGUUUAGCAAUUUUUUUUGGGCGGACGAAAACUCUGCCAAUCUCACGUCCGCAAGCGUAGCAACAAGCGAUCCCACGACGCGUAAUUAGCGCUAACAACCCGUGUGAUGAGAGACCAGAGGACAUCUGCUCGGAGACCCAUGCCCUUGUGCGCUCACGAUGGAGAACUUCGCGAUGCAUCGGCCGACGGCUGCUACGGUCGCCGGCCCUACUCCCGAGGGCGCCGUGCGCCGAGAGGUCAAGGGAGUGGCCCAUAGAUGCCGUCCUCCUCUGCUUGGUGGCCUCCAUGGAUGCGGGAGACCAUGUCGCCAGAUCCGUCGCUGGCCGACCGAAGGGUCCCCCGAGGACGGCCAAUGGACGGAGCCUCGCCACCUACCUCCAACAGAUGUCCGGCACCCCAUUGCUACUGGCACGUCGUCCCAACCAACGUCGCUGUCAGCCUCACGGGAUUCAGAGGAGGUGCCUGUUCUGUUUGGGUGUUUUCCCCGUGUGGUACUGGUUGGGAUUCAGAGGAGGUGCGGUGGGGGGCAUUUUCUCCUAUAGGUGAACACUCUGAUCCCUUUUUAUUGUACCAGGCAUGGCGGAUUCUGCUCCUGCAGUCGAGUUUUUGCUACCCUUCAUUUCCUUUAGCCAGAUCAGUGUGGUUCUAAACUUUGUAUACACUUUUGGAUUUGUGAGAAAAACGAGAUGGUGGUUCGAUUUCCUCCCGGCCUGUACACCCGCACACACUUUCAGUAGGAAGAUGAUCCCGGUGUAGGAGGACCCGACGACUGACGUGAAGUCGGGGUGGAAGAAGGGCAUGAAGGACACCUUCCUAAAAGGAAUGAUCUGAUUUUUCCGGUAUAUAAUUAUGUAUUUUAAAAAAUUACUGGGGUGUACUUUUUAUAUUAUGACUACAAUCUUUGAAAUUAUAUUUAUAUAUACCAUUUUAUUUGAAAAUAAGUUAUAAAUUAAAAUUUCUGAAUAGAUUGGAUGAUGUUUCAUGUGUUUGAAUUGCAUUUUAGGUCAAAUAAGUCUGCUAGGUUAGAGGAGCUAUGACAAAAGUUGUUCAAAAACCGAAUGAACUUUUUCUUCGUUCAGUAAUGGAGAUUUAUCAUGUAUUAGAAUGUGUCAACUUCUGCAAGUUUGUGUUCUCCUAUCGAUAGCUCUAUUUCCGUCAGGUAUCUCACUCUGUUUGUGGUCUUUUUUUUCGGUUCAUGAAUACAAAAUGAGCGUGAAGAGGUGAAGAUACUGGCGUGAAGGAACCAUGAGAUGAGAACAUGCUGAGAACAGUUCUAUUGAUGAACAAUUGACCACUGUAAUUAUAUACUAAUGCAGCUGUUGCAAGCUUUCUUUUUUAUUUAAAAUCUUUAUUGUGACAACCUCUUAAGAUUUUCAGCCAUCUCUUUAUAGGUACUAUAGGGAACUAAUUUCGAAGUUACUGGUGUUGUCCCUUUUACUUUUCUGCUCAUACAUUGUUGCUAAUUUGGAGUAAGUACAUGAAAUCUACUGACUCUGAGGUCUUUAUUAUGUAGUCCAGUUUCUUCAUGCUUGCAUUUGUCCAUGUUUCUCUUCUAUUUCCAUCAUUGAGAAGUUAAGAUGUUGGUUUGGACGAUAUUCUGAUGUUGUUAGUUACAGUAGGAUAUUCUGAUAUUUGUUGAUCGUUUCCAGGCUAAGGUUCACUAGAAAAUAUAUAUUGGAACUACCAGCUAUCAUGCUAGACGAUGAUAAUGGUUUACUCCUUUUGAUGCGAGAUGAGCUAAUCAGGGUGCUUGAUCUACAAGGUUAAGAUGCUAGAUGAUUAAAAAGAUUCUUUUGAACAUAAAAGUACCCCAGAGUUUCUCUCCUCACAACUAGAACAGACACAUUACCAAAAAUUUAUUCAAUUCGAUUUCAGUUUGUUAGUGAUAUUAUUGUUUGUACUUUUUUUGCCCGUGAUGAUUAGCGCCAAUUUAUGAGUUUUGUAUUUAAUUUUGUGAUAUUAUUCCCAGUCACCACAAGUUUGGUCUGGCAAAUUGACUUUGCUUGUUUUUUGUUCAAUCAUCUCUUUACCUAAUGCAGAUUAUAGAUAUAUUAUGUUUCAUCUUCACAUCGAUUGCCAAGUCGACUGAUGCGUAUUCUUGUCGGGUCUGGACCAAACUGAAUGCAGAUGUUAAGGUUGAUGAUACUACAGCGUCUCGAUCAUUGCCAUUCAAGCAUGUUUUUAAAGAGGAAAAAGAAUCAUGCAAAGCCUAAAUAUGACAUGGUUACGGAGGUGUAAUGGUCAGCCAUGAGUUCGUGGCUGCAAUGCGGUGUUUCCUUACUGCCAGGGGUGCCCAUGGUCACAGAUAAACUGAAAUAACAGUAAGUGACACACUAUAUGUCUAUAUACUGUGCUCUCUAUUGUGUAUGUAAAAACUAAAAAGUGCUAUUCAGCUGAAUGAUAAGAUGUGUCUUGUAGAGA